Myotis daubentonii (Daubenton's bat) is the source of this 1699-nucleotide long non-coding RNA. RefSeq lists it as uncharacterized. Lineage: Eukaryota; Metazoa; Chordata; Mammalia; Chiroptera; Vespertilionidae. The transcript is spliced from 2 exons. The record is from RefSeq and is a predicted model, not a curated record.
GCCCAUCUUUCAAGACCCAGAUUUAAUGCCAUCUCUUCCGGGAAGUCUUUCCUGCUCUCCUUCACACUUCUUUGAUAUUUAGCUGCACUUUUCUUGCGGCACCUCUUGUUUACUUAGGAAGCAUCCAAGAGCCCGACCAGCCAGGAAGGUCCCUCUGGACAGAGAGGGACACAUUCAUCUAAGUCCACCCCAACCCCUUGCCCUCACGCGGCCAGGCGGACAAGUGCAAUAAACAAUGUUGGUUCGCUCCAUCAAUAGUUCUUCCCGGAAACGGAAACCCAGGGCACAACUGCCUCCGACGAAACCACCGGGAUAACCGUCGUCCUGAGGUCCGAGAGCCGGCGAGAACUGCUCCGAGUCUGUUGUAAAACGCCUGCCCCAACCCUGAAGAUGGAGUCGCCUGGAAACUAAGUGACGGAAAAGGGGGUUCCGCCCUCCGGCCCGCGCCACCCCUGACGUUCGCCUCGCCCUCCGAUUGGUUGCUCCUUGCACGUGAUCCGCCGGCCGCCGCGGGAUUGGUUGUCUGGCAGAGGCCGCAGUGGGUGGUGGGAUGCCGGCGGGGCCUGGAGGCGGAGGCCGGUGGGAAGCGGGAGCUGUUGUCUUGGAGGGAGGGCUGGGAACCUAGCAGUCCGCACCGUGAGCCUUCGCGGGCUGGGCCAGCCUCGUGGGAGUCUAGGGCGUAGGAGUUCUGGGAUUUUCCAAAUGGGGCUUAGGACUCCUGCCUGGGUCUGGUGUGAGCCCUGGCUCCGGCCUUACUCGCCUUUCCCCGCAAGGACGGCUUCUCUGUCUUCCUUGGAGUUGGUGGGGUUUGGACCGUUAUUUUUGACCGUCCCUUGUGUGUAAGCAUUGGUUGUCCUGCGCCGGGCGCCGUGCAGAGCGCCAUGAGGUAGAAGGGGCGGGGGGGCAGAGGGAGGGUUUAGAGAUGCUUGCGAUGUGGUCCUUACCUACGUGACGCGUUGGAGGUUGAGGUGAAAAAUCUGGCUUUGAUACCUUCAUGGAGUACUACAUUAUUUCAGUCCUGAAUCUGGUUCCGUUCUCUUCUUGACUUAUUAUAUUAAAGGUGUUUUUUAAAUUGAUAUUUGCUUUGGUAAAACCUUGCUAUUUAACAAGAAUUCUUGCAACUAUCCCCUAUACUCUUUUUACCUAUAAUAAUAAAAGCAUAAUAUGCUAAUUAGACCGGAUGGCCUUUCAGACGACCUUCCGGAUGAAGCUGAGGCAAGCCACCUUGGCUUCGAGGGCCGAGCCCCUUGCACAAAUUUCAUGCCUUGGGCCUCUAGUGAUACAGAAAAGUGUUAAUAUUUUAAAAUCCAUAGGAUGUUCCAUUUCAGAAUUUAGUUUUAUCACCUUGGUGCUAUUAGAGGAUGUUUGUCCUUUGAAUUGCUAAAAUGAGUUAAAAUACUGGGAAACGCCUAUCAGCAGAGGCACCUACAAAUUACUUUCAUCCUUCCUCAUCUAGUUAUGAAUUUUUUAACCCAUAUUUUUUCAUCAAUUUGCCAAUCCAGGCAUGAAUUUUUCUACAUAGGCAACUUAAAGUGUUUUUGUAGUCUUUCUAAUACAAGAUAUUUUGAACAAGGCUGAAUGCUGAAUUCUUGCUGUUGGAGUAGAGGACUUUCCCCCCCAAUUAUUGGAUUAGCAAAAACCCCCACAAAAUGUUAAUACAAAAAUACCCCCAAAAGUCAAAGAUUGUCUGAAUGAAAAA